CCGAGUUGUCGGAUGAGUUGUGGUUAGGAGCGAAAGACUAAUCAAACCUUGUGAUAGCUGGUUCUUUCCGAAAUAUAUUUGGGUAUAGCCUCGGAUGCUGAUGAGUGGAGGUAGAGCACUAAAUAAGCUAGGGCCCCUACUGGGGUACUGAACUUAAUUAAACUCCGAAUACCAUUCAAUGAAGUCCGGGAGUCAGACUGUGGGGGAUAACCUUCAUAGUCGAGAGGAGAAUAAUCCAUACCAUCAGUUAAGGUCCCAAAAUAUGGCUCAGUGAAAAAGGAUGUGAUUUUGCUUAGAUAAUGGGGAUGUUGGCUUAGAGGUAGCCAUCAUUUAAACAGUGUGUAAUAGCUGACCCAUCGAGCGAAAUUGCGCCGAAAAUGAUCGGGACUUAAGCCAUAUACCGAAGCUAUGGGUGCACCCUCAAAAGUGCGCAGUAGGAAAGCGUCCCAAGUGCAGCGAAGUGGAAGGGGUAACCGACCAUGGAGCGCUUGGGAGUGAGAAUGCAGACAUAAGUAACGAUAAAGACGGUUGAAAUCCGUCUCGCCGAAAUCCCAAGGAUUCCUGGGGAAGGUUCGUCCUCCCAGGGUUAGUCGGGUGCUAAGACGAGGCCGUAAGGAAUAGUCGAUGCCAAGCAGGUUUAAUAUUCCUGCACCACCGUACAUACGUUCGACCUAAGGAGUGACGGAGAAAGUUAAUACAGCGACGUGUUGAAUCGUCGUCUAAGCUCGUAGGCUGCUCGGGGAUAAAAGACCGGGUAAAGCUGAAAAGUGAUGGGACCUUGAGGCUACGGCCGAUGGGGAUUGUAUGAUACUCGGCUUCCAAGAAAAACUUCGUAGUUAGUAUGUGAGGUGCCCGUACCGUAAACCGACACAGGUGGGAUAGAUGAGUAUUCUAAGGCGCGCAGGUUAAAUCUCUCUAAGGAACUCGGCAAAUUAACCCCGUAUCUUUGGUAGAAGGGGUGCCUCGCAAGAGGCCGUAGUUAAUUGCGUCAACCGACUGUUUAGUAAAAACACAGCACUCUGCUAAGUCGCAAGACGACGUAUAGGGUGUGACACGUGACCAAUGCGGAAAGGUGAAAGUCUUGGGUGUAAGCUCAGGAUCUAAGCCCCCGUGAAUGUUGGCCGUAAUUAUAACGGUCCUAAGGUAGCGAAAUUCCUUGUCGGGUAAGUUCCGACCCGCACGAAUCGUGUAACGAGUUGACGACUGUCUCGGAGAGAGGCCUGGUGAAAUUGUAGUGGCGGUGAAGAUGCCGCCUACCCGCAGCAGGACGGAAAGACCCUAUGCACCUUUACUGUAAGCUGUUAUUGUCGCUUGAGUUUCAAUACGUAGAAUAGGUGGGAGACUCUGAAGCCUGGUUCUAGGAUCAGGCUGAGUCACAACGUGAAAUACCACUUUUUGUUACUUAGGCGUCUAACCUCGUACCAUUAUUUGGUCGAGGGACAGUGAUAGCAGGUCAGUUUUUCUGGGGCGGAAUCCUCCCAAAAAGUAAUGGAGGAUUACGAAGGUUCCCUUGGCCCGGUUGGUAAUCGGGCUAUAGAGUGUAUGAGUAUAAGGGAGCUUUACUGUGAGACUAAUAAGUCGAGCAGUUGCGAAAGCAGGUUCAAGUGAUCCGGUGGAAAU
RNAcentral lists this ribosomal RNA (1620 nucleotides) under metagenome. RNAcentral's name for it is "bacterial LSU rRNA". It matches the Rfam family "Bacterial large subunit ribosomal RNA", at positions 792 to 2430 of the family's 2925-position model. The record is from RNAcentral.